GACGAACGCUGGCGGCGUGCUUAACACAUGCAAGUCGAGCGGAAAGGCCCUUCGGGGUACUCGAGCGGCGAACGGGUGAGUAACACGUGAGUAACCUGCCCCAGACUUUGGGAUAACCCUCGGAAACGGGGGCUAAUACCGGAUACGACACAGCUUCGCAUGGGGUCUGUGUGGAAAGUUGUUCGGUUUGGGAUGGGCUCGCGGCCUAUCAGCUUGUUGGUGGGGUGAUGGCCUACCAAGGCGACGACGGGUAGCCGGCCUGAGAGGGCGACCGGCCACACUGGGACUGAGACACGGCCCAGACUCCUACGGGAGGCAGCAGUGGGGAAUAUUGCACAAUGGGCGGAAGCCUGAUGCAGCGACGCCGCGUGAGGGAUGACGGCCUUCGGGUUGUAAACCUCUUUCAGCAGGGACGAAGCGUAAGUGACGGUACCUGCAGAAGAAGCGCCGGCCAACUACGUG
Molecule: ribosomal RNA, 462 nt
Filed under: uncultured bacterium
Lineage: Bacteria
Description: partial 16S ribosomal RNA
Rfam family: Bacterial small subunit ribosomal RNA
Source: RNAcentral